GAAAGAGCGUCCAAGAGAGGCCGUGCCUGCCACGCGUGAUGAUGAUGAAGGGCGGAGCAGCACAGAGGUCAGAGUGGUGGUGGGUUGGGGAGGUCCUGCAGGUGCCAGGUGGCCACAGGUGGGACACCUCCAGGCUCAGUUUCCUGCCAAGGGAAGCCUGAAGCAGGGGAGGCUGUCCCCACCUUCCCUGCCUCCUGUGCAGGCCUCCUGGGCACCCUAAAUCUCUGCGGCUCCUCAAGGCCCCCACAUCCCUCUCCUCUCCUGAGCCUCCCCAGGAUUAGAUAAGGCUGGCAAACUGUGCCCCCUUCCUGUGGUUUUCUCCCACCAGGACGUCCCAAGCUGGAAGACUCCCGCCCCUCUGUGCCACGGCUGGUGGCUUCACCCUUGACCCGGGGGAGAUGGCUGGAUGUGAUCUGCCCAGAGCUUCCCAGAGGCUGGCCAAGAAGGCACAAGGAAAGGACUCCUUCUUCUGGCCUGGUGUGGAGAGCAGAACGUCCUGGAGAGGCGUUUGCCAGGCCAGAGCCAGCUGAAGCUUUUGAAGAAAGGGCCACCUUCCCUCCCUGCGCCAAGGCCUGAUCGGACUGGGAGAUAAACUGCACUGGCAGCUGUCCUGGCAGAGCUCUGAAUCACUGCUGUGCAAACAUGACCCUCCUUCACUGCGACUGCCAGCUUUGUUAUCUAGAAUGCAAACACAAUGCAACCAUCCUUAGCUCCAGAUUAACAACAACAAAAACAUCCCUGGAGAAGCCGCUUUCCAAGAUGACUGAAAGCCCAGUGUGGAUUUUAGCCAAAACAGACAGAGGACCCCCGCUCCUGCCUGGGCUGCCUGCACCCACAUUCUGAAAUGGGGACAAUGCCAGGAGGCGGACAGGGUGGGAUGCAAGGUGGAAAAGAGCUGGAAUGUGCCAGGGACCUGACUUGCCAGCUACGCCAGCUCUUUCUGCCCCUGGCCGCCUGGGCCCCCUCCUGAGGACAGCAAACAGCUUCCUGCUCUCUCGGUCUGGUAGGCAGCAAGGCUGGCACCCUUGUGUGCUCAGGGCCAAGCAUGAGUGUGGGCAGCUGGUUAGAGUCCAGGUCAGAGGUGGUCUGGGCCUCCCUUCUGCUGGCCCAUGCCUUGAAACUAUCUGCAGGAUGAAGGCAAGACAAGAAAGGGUGUAGACAGUGAGCACCCUGAUGGCCUGCGUGCAGCUCCUUCUUGCCCUGAACCAUGGCUGCAGAGGGUGGCACCUUCUGUCUGUUUGAUGAGUCUUGGACAUAGGUGGAUGUGGAUAUGGGACCAUCCUGUGUCCCCUCCAGCCAUAUGGUAGCGAACAUUGAUUAAGCACUUACUAUGUGCUGGUCAUCCUGCUGUGAGUGCUGCAUGUCUGAUUCAUUUGCUCCUUCCUAUAAGUAGGAACUGUUACUGCCCCCAUUUGACAGAGGUGGAAACGGAGGCACAGAGAGGAAACUAUCGUUCUCAAGGCUAUGCAGUGUCGUGACCGCAGUGGGAUUUGAACUGAGACUUUUUGACUGCAGAGUUUGCUGUUUGCUGCCUCUCACAUUGGCGGUGCUUGCAGUGUGGAAGGAGCGUCACUGGGGCAAGACCAGCCCCUCGCCGCCUCUGCGCAUCUUGAACUCUCUGUCUCCAUGGGCAUCGGGAAUUGACUCAUUUAUUAGUUUAUUCAUUCACUGGUUUCUUCCUUCAACUCCUAUUCUGUGCCAUAUGCAUCGCUCAGCACUGGGGGGUCGGAGGGGACAAAGAUGUACAGGGCGCAGACCCCUCUCCGGCAGCUCCAGCCUCUCCAGGCCAGGCCUUCCUCACUCUCCAGCUGAGGACUCCAGGGAGGCCUGUGGUCUGAGUGGAGAGAGAAAGGGGACGGCCUGGUGAAGCAGGGCAUGAGAAGGACGGACAAGGCAGUCAUCACAGGGAAGGAGCCGGGCCAGGCACGCCUGCAGGGCCCAGAGAGGACGCAGACAUCACAGGGAAGGGGCCGGGCCAGGCACGCCUGCAGGGCCCAGAGAGGACGCAGCUGCAGAAACGCAGGUGGGAGGCAGCCAGGCCGUGGCUGUGGCCUGGAGAGAGAAGCUAAGCCCAUGAGGCCCAACGCGGAGGGGCCAAGAUCAGCUCUGGGUGAUGCGAUCCAAGGACGGGGAGAGGCUUAGUCAGGAGGGGAGUUUACCCAGGGCUGGAGGGCACAGGAGAGAAUGGAGGAUAGAUAACGGCUGGUGACUCAGAGCCUAUGGUCCAAACCUGCACAGUGCCACUUGGAUGACACCAGAGAAGAUCAAGGUUAGGGCUGGGGUUGGGCAGAACUGGAGCAGAAACAACUGAGCAAAGCCGAGGGAGGAAAGGCUGUGAUUUCCACGAGCGAUACUGCAGGACUUCCUAGGCCGCUGCUGUCCGGGCGGGGCAUGCAGGAGACCUAAAGUUCCAGGUGGACAGUGGAGCCCAGGAGGGUGCCUGAGACCCCUGCAAGCGGGUGUAACAUAAAGGCCGACUCCAGUGCACACUUUCAGGGCUUCCUCUAUGCUGACCACCGUUCCAGGGCCAUAAAUGAACUCAACAAGCCUGUGAAGUGGAUGCUGUUCUUGCCCCACAUUUACAGACGAGUGACCUGAAGCACAGAGAGGCUGAGGGAAUGGCCAAGGUCCCACAGCUAGGAAAUGGCAAAACCGGGUCCCCAGAAACAUGUAGGGCUCAGCCUGGGCCUGGAGGUGACGGCAGCGUUUGUCAGUGAGGAGAACCCGGGAAGGAGGUGCAGCUGGAAUUCUACCCUCGGCAUCUGGGGGACUGCAGGGCUUGUUCUCGCUCUCACGAGUGUCCCUGUGCAAGGCAGUAAGAACACAGGUGCUGACUAGGACGCCACCUGGGCCAGCCUCCUGGCUCAGGGACAGCAGGCACCAUCCUGAAUGGCACCGUGGUGAGCCGAGGUGCAGGAGGCCUGGCUGUCGUGGGGCUCUGCACCCUGGGGUGCUGCGGCUGCACUCCGCUGCCUACUCUCUCCCCACUGCAGCCAGCCUGGCAUGGCUGUCAGGAGCCAGCUCUCCUGGUGGGUCAGUCACCCACUGGGCAGAACUGGGACAGUCUCAUUUGUCUCCCAUCUUGCUCCUGACUUCUGAAACAAAUCUGCAGUUUGCUUUUUUUUUUUUUUUUUUUAAAUUACUUCCUGGUCCUGCCUCUGGUCCUGCCCCAUCUCCUGCAGUGCAGGGUCACUGGGGCAGUGCAGGGGCUGAGGAGAAAGGGCCCUGGCACGUGUCUACUGGGCCUCGUCCUUGCUAGGGCCCGUCUGAAGCGGGUGACCCCUGACUAUGCCAGGUUUCUGGAUCACAUCCUGCUCCCUCGAGUUCCCAGGUCCUUGUGUCUCCUAAAAAUAAAGGUGCCACUCACUGGGCGCUUCCUAGGCACCGAGCACCAUGCUGUGGGCUUUAAGGCACAGCCUCAUUUGAUCCUUCUAACAAUCCCAGGUGGAGAGUGAUCCUGCAUCCCCAUUUUUCUAGAUGUGUCCACAGAGGCUCAGAAGGAUGAGACUUGCCCUAGACCACGCACCCAGUAAAGGGCCAGGUAAGACCUGAAUUUUCCCUCUGGACCCCCAGCCUCCUGAUGUCUAUUUUCAGCCAGUUUAAUUUCAGGCAUGGGAAGCCCACCUAAGAGCUUGUUUCGAGUCCAUGUUUGUAUUAACCAUGCCUCACACGCUUUCAGAUGAUACGAAAGUGAGAGGAGGAACUCGUAAGGUGGAUGGCCCAGGAUUAAGGCUGAGCAGAUUUCAGGAGGAAGGAAAGGAAGGCCAGUCUGAACGAGGUGGUAUCCGUGGGGGUGACUGUGAGAUCCUGCAGGUGUAUUCGAAAUCGCCAUUGCACAAGGGCAGGAUGGGGAAAUGGUUACGGGCUUUAGUGGACUGCCAGCCUGAUGCCAAUCUGUGUACCUGAUGCUGAUAAAGCCAGUGCACCCAUCGGCUAUAUAAACAGGAGCAUCAUGACCAACACAGGGGAGGUGGUACAUCCCUGACCACCUCACCGAUUGCUGUGUUUGAAUCCAGAUGCCGUAUGUUAAGAAUAAUACUGGCAAACACAAGGCUACCUGGAUGAGGGCAGCAAGAGAGGGGGCAGAGGUUAGUUAGGAGGUGGUGGGGGCAGGGUCUAUGGGAAUGAUGUCAUAUUAAAAUAAAAAAAGAGGUGGUGUGGUAUGGGUGGUAGUAAACACAGGCAUAUUUGACUCAUUAUAUAUAGCAUCUGAAGACUAAAAUAUGGUAAAUAAUGAACAUAUGUUAAAUAAAUAAAAUGACAUAUAUGAUUUAUGGAAGCUCUAGAUAAAUGUAUGUAGCAGAAAUUUAGCUAGCAUUUCAGUAAGUAUUUGAGUUUUUAAAAAGAAUAAUGAAAGGUACUAGGAUGUCUAGUCCAAAUGGAAAGAUGUACUUAGUCGCAUUAUAUGAAGCCCAAUAAAUAUGCUCAGGGCCCACACGCUGCUAAGAAUCUGGAAGACAGAUUUGGAGAGGGGCGGAAGGCAGCUGUAGGCUAGAUACAAGAAAGGACUUCCUAAUGAUGAGUGUGGUCAUGUAAGGAAUGAAGUGCAGGAGGAGGAGGGGUUCCCUGUUCCUUAGGGGGUGUCUGUGGAAGCUGGAAGAGCUUAGUUGGCAUCCAGGGGCUCCCUGCAGUCAGGGAGAGGAGUUUUCUGUGCACUCAGUUGGUGAGUCCAUGAGACAUAGCUGUGCUGUGUUGAUAAGGCAUGCUCCAACCAGAAGUGCCGAAAGCUCCAGAGCGCCCUAAUCUUGGGUUGAAGUUGGGUUUGCAUCAUCAUCGACUGUUUUCCAAGGGCUUGGCCUGUGGAGGCUCUGAUGGGGACUUGAAAGAGUUCGCUUCCCACCUGCUUGCGGCUGACAUUCCUCUUCCUGGUUGUCAGUGUUUGUUCUGGCCACGAGCCCCUCUAGAGCUCAGACACCGGGAUUGAACUCUGGUACUCACAUGUGGCUGUGAGCAGUGGGGAGGCAGGGCCUUGAGGGAUACCCUGAAGGCUCCUGUCCAUGGGGCUAGGGAUGGCAGGAGGGGGAUGAGAUGUCCCGAGAAUCUCUGAGUCCAGCCUGUGAGUGAUGCCAUGUCUCGCUCUAGCCUUUAGG
This 5090-nucleotide long non-coding RNA is filed under the name Homo sapiens (human). RNAcentral's name for it is "HSALNT0345183". The record is from RNAcentral. Lineage: Eukaryota; Metazoa; Chordata; Mammalia; Primates; Hominidae.